GAGGAAGCAUGUGCUCUCGUCGCAAAUAUCCUCUAAUAAUUCCUUCCUCUGCCCCAUACUCUCCACUAAAACUCCUGCCAAUUUUCUUGCUACCUUCGACAUCGCGCUUGCCACUUCCUCCAUCACUUCCCUGCCGUUCCAUGAUGUAAGAUGGAUGAAGGCCGAGGAUAAAUGAUAAUUUACAGGUGCCUCCUGUCAAAAUUCAAUUGGGCGAGGAUUCAUGGUGAUUACAAAAAUUCAGAUGUUGAAUCACUUUUGUUAUUUUCAAUUACUCUAAAAACAAUCAUUUAUUCAUUCAAAACUAAUUUCGAUGAUAUGAAAAUUAUAUUUAAAAUGUAAAAUUAAAUAUUCAAUUAUUUUUAAGUGAUUAAAAAGUGUCUUGGAGUGACAGAAACAUAAACAUAUGAUUUUUAACAA
Cucumis melo (muskmelon) is the source of this 417-nucleotide long non-coding RNA. RefSeq lists it as uncharacterized. The transcript has 2 exons. Lineage: Eukaryota; Viridiplantae; Streptophyta; Magnoliopsida; Cucurbitales; Cucurbitaceae. The record is from RefSeq and is a predicted model, not a curated record.